RNAcentral lists this ribosomal RNA (413 nucleotides) under uncultured bacterium. Its description in RNAcentral is "bacterial SSU rRNA". It matches the Rfam family "Bacterial small subunit ribosomal RNA", at positions 40 to 500 of the family's 1533-position model. The record is from RNAcentral.
CGGCACGCUUAAACAUGCAAGUCGAACGCAGUAGCAAUACUGAGUGGCAGACGGGUGAGUAUAAUGUGGGAAUCUGCCUUUUGGUUCGGAAUAACUCGGGGAAACUUGAGCUAAUACCGGAUAAGCCCUUACGGGGAAAGAUUUAUCGCCGAAAGAUGAGCCCGCACUUGAUUAGCUUGUUGGUGAGGUAAAAGCUCACCAAGGCAACAAUCAAUAGCUGUUCUUAGAGGAAGACCAGCCACAUUGGGACUGAGACACGGCCCAGACUCCUACGGGAGGCAGCAGUGGGGAAUCUUGCACAAUGGGGGAAACCCUGAUGCAGCGAUGCCGCGUGAGUGAAGAAGGCCUUUGGGUUGUAAAACUCUUUCGUCGGGGAAGAAAAUGACUGUACCCGAAUAAGAAGGUCCGGCUAA